GAUGAACGCUAGCUACAGGCUUAACACAUGCAAGUCGCAGGGUAACAUGAGGAAAGCUUGCUUUCCUUGAUGCCGACUGGCGCACGGGUGAGUAACGCGUAUCCAACCUUCCCAUAACUACGGGAUAACCCGUUGAAAGACGGCCUAAUACCGUAUGAUAUCGUUUGCUGACAUCAAAUAACGAUUAAAGGUUUAGCGGUUAUGGAUGGGGUUGCGUCUGAUUAUCUUGUUGGCGGGGUAACGGCCCACCAAGGCGACGAUCAGUAGGGGUUCUGAGAGGAAGGCCCCCCACAUUGGAACCGCGACACAGUCCACACUCCUACGCGAGGCAGCAGUGAGGAAGACUGGUCAAUGGGCGAGGGCCUGAACCAGCCAAGUAGCGUGCAGGACGACGGCCCUAUGGGUGGUAAACUGCUGUUAUGUGGGGAUAAAGUGCGUGACGUGUCAUGCAUUGCAGGUACCACAUGAAUAAGGACCGGCUAAUUCCGUG
RNAcentral lists this ribosomal RNA (490 nucleotides) under uncultured bacterium. RNAcentral's name for it is "partial 16S ribosomal RNA". It matches the Rfam family "Bacterial small subunit ribosomal RNA", at positions 28 to 507 of the family's 1533-position model. The record is from RNAcentral.